Long non-coding RNA from Clarias gariepinus (North African catfish), 935 nucleotides. RefSeq lists it as uncharacterized. The transcript is spliced from 3 exons. NCBI's taxonomy places the organism in Eukaryota, Metazoa, Chordata, Actinopteri, Siluriformes, Clariidae. The record is from RefSeq and is a predicted model, not a curated record.
AGACUGAACACUUUCAGGGUCUACACGUACACGCACGUAUUCACACGUCUGCUCGCUCAGAUCCAGGGUCCGGACUCUCAGGUUCAGUUCUGACAAAAUCUAACAGACAUGAUUAUCAGACUCGGGCGACUGACUCCUGGAUACUUCCAUCUCCUGCAGAGGCAGGUAGCCGGAGAUGUCCAGGUCCAGCCUCAGCACCGCUCCCUUAACCAGAUCGCCAUGAUGCUGGCCAUUAUGGGUCUUAGCCUAUCCUACUACAGCGCAAAACAGAUGACCGAGAAGGUGCAGCGUGACCCGGUGCCCUGAACACGACCGCGGCUUUAAGAGCCAUGGAGGAGGCGUAGAUGCAAUAUUGGAAACGGAGAUUUCAACACCAUAUUCAGCACUCUUAUUUACACUACAUCACUUUGACCUUUUAGGGGUUCUAGCAAGAAAAACGUCUACAAAACUAAAUAGUGUGCACGCAUGGCCUGGGUCUUGAUAGUUGUGCUGGUUCAGGCUUCAGGGUUGCGUAAUACCUUCAAGGACAAAGCUUUGGCCGAAGAUCUUUCCAACGAUUUAUAUUUAAAGGGAAGUAGCCAGUGGUGGUUUGGCAGGGAUUAAAACUCUGUCUUAUGUAUCGAUCAACUCUUGAAAGCAGGUCGCUUAAUAAUUAGGGAUAUUUUUCAAAGCUGCCUAAGUAAAGACGAGGAAUUGAAAAGGCAGUUUCAAUCUACACUACUAUAAGAAAUAUAAAAAAAUCUGUUUGGUGGUUGAAAUUAUUAUUAUUUUUUUUGUACCAUUAUAAGCAGGUUUUAGGAUCAAUGUUGGAGGGAUGUUAACAAGCACGUCUGUGUAAAGAUUUUUAAACAAUCCCAUAUGUGACAUUAUCAUUUUUUUAUGAAUGUACUGUAUGUUGGUAUUUAAAACUUGAUGAAAUAAAGCUGUGAACAUUU